UGCAGAGGUCUCAAGCGUUGUUCGGAUUCAUUGGGCGUAAAGGGCGCGUAGGCGGCGGGGUAAGUCGGGUGUGAAAUCUCAGAGCUCAACUCUGAAACUGCACUCGAUACUGCUCUGCUUGAGGACUGGAGAGGAGACUGGAAUUCACGGUGUAGCAGUGAAAUGCGUAGAUAUCGUGAGGAAGACCAGUGGCGAAGGCGGGUCUCUGGACAGUUCCUGACGCUGAGGCGCGAAGGCCAGGGGAGCAAACGGG
RNAcentral lists this ribosomal RNA (253 nucleotides) under uncultured bacterium. Its description in RNAcentral is "partial 16S ribosomal RNA". It matches the Rfam family "Bacterial small subunit ribosomal RNA", at positions 524 to 776 of the family's 1533-position model. The record is from RNAcentral.